This is a long non-coding RNA of Sander lucioperca (pikeperch), 404 nucleotides long. RefSeq lists it as uncharacterized. The transcript is spliced from 3 exons. The record is from RefSeq and is a predicted model, not a curated record. NCBI's taxonomy places the organism in Eukaryota, Metazoa, Chordata, Actinopteri, Perciformes, Percidae.
UGCAGAGCCAGUGGGUUAAUUUUAUUUUAUCUGUAAAUACGACGACAGAAAUCCCCAAAGUUGUCUUAGUGUGCGAAAAACAUUUCACCGACGACAGUUUCCUCAACUUGGGCCAAUACAAAGCUGGCCUUGCUGAUCGUCUGAGGUUAAAGCCUGGUGCGGUACCAACUCUUUGUGGCUCAGCUACAAACCUCGGACAGGCCAGCACAUCAACUGCUUCCAUUAAGCUGCCUUUCUCAAGGGAUGUUGCCUGCCAGACAGACCACCUGGAAACACGUACUAUAGGCACACAGCUAGCCUUGAAGACUCUGCGGCCCCACUUUAGAAGUGAAGGUAUCCAGGCAAGUGUCUCCUGCAGAGAUUUUGGUGUGGGGCCCUCAAAUGCAGACCCUUUGUGCCUGUCA